Molecule: ribosomal RNA, 490 nt
Filed under: uncultured bacterium
Lineage: Bacteria
Description: partial 16S ribosomal RNA
Rfam family: Bacterial small subunit ribosomal RNA
Source: RNAcentral
AUUGAACGCUGGCGGCAGGCCUAACACAUGCAAGUCGAACGGUAACAGGAAGCAGCUUGCUGCCUCGCUGACGAGUGGCGGACGGGUGAGUAAUGUCUGGGAAACUGCCUGAUGGAGGGGGAUAACUACUGGAAACGGUAGCUAAUACCGCAUAACGUCGCAAGACCAAAGAGGGGGACCUUAGGGCCUCUUGCCAUUGGAUGUGCCCAUAUGGGAUUAGCUAGUAGGUGGGGUAACGGCUCACCUAGGCGACGAUCCCUAGCUGGUCUGAGAGGAUGACCAGCCACACUGGAACUGAGACACGGUCCAGACUCCUACGGGAGGCAGCAGUGGGGAAUAUUGCACAAUGGGCGCAAGCCUGAUGCAGCCAUGCCGCGUGUAUGAAGAAGGCCUUCGGGUUGUAAAGUACUUUCAGCGGGGAGGAAGGGAGUAAAGUUAAUACCUUUGCUCAUUGACGUUACCCGCAGAAGAAGCACCGGCUAACUCCGUG